RNAcentral lists this non-coding RNA (135 nucleotides) under Chloroflexota bacterium. RNAcentral's name for it is "Chloroflexi bacterium FMN sequence". It matches the Rfam family "FMN riboswitch aptamer (RFN element)". Rfam says of the family: The RFN element is a highly conserved domain that is found frequently in the 5'-untranslated regions of prokaryotic mRNAs that encode for flavin mononucleotide (FMN) biosynthesis and transport proteins. The record is from RNAcentral. Lineage: Bacteria; Bacillati; Chloroflexota.
AACAGCCUUCGGGGCAGGGUGAUAACGGUCAGCCGUUUAUUCCCGAUCGGUGGUAAAGCCCACGAGCCAAUUUACCAGGCACGAUCCGGUGAGAUUCCGGAGCCGACGGUACAGUCCGGAUGAAAGAAGGUAUCA